UACCAGACUCCUACGGGAGGCAGCAGUGAGGAAUAUUGGUCAAUGGCCGAGAGGCUGAACCAGCCAAGUCGCGUGAGGGAAGACGGCCCUACGGGUUGUAAACCUCUUUUGUCGGGGAGCAAAGCGAACCACGUGUGGUUCAUUGAGAGUACCCGAAGAAAAAGCAUCGGCUAACUCCGUGCCAGCAGCCGCGGUAAUACGGAGGAUGCGAGCGUUAUCCGGAUUUAUUGGGUUUAAAGGGUGCGCAGGCGGAGGUGCAAGUCAGCGGUCAAAUUGCGGGGCUCAACCCCGUACUGCCGUUGAAACUGGGGAUCUAGAGUGUGCGAGAGGUAUGCGGAAUGCGUGGUGUAGCGGUGAAAUGCAUAGAUAUCACGCAGAACCCCGAUUGCGAAGGCAGCAUACCGGUGCACAACUGACGCUCAGGCACGAAAGUGUGGGUAUCGAACAGGAUUAGAUACCCGUGUAAC
RNAcentral lists this ribosomal RNA (467 nucleotides) under uncultured bacterium. RNAcentral's name for it is "bacterial SSU rRNA". It matches the Rfam family "Bacterial small subunit ribosomal RNA", at positions 329 to 795 of the family's 1533-position model. The record is from RNAcentral.